UACGUAGGUGGCAAGCGUUGUCCGGAAUUAUUGGGCGUAAAGCGCGCGCAGGCGGUCUCUUAAGUCUGAUGUGAAAGCCCCCGGCUUAACCGGGGAGGGUCAUUGGAAACUGGGAGACUUGAGUGCAGGAGAGGGAAGCGGAAUUCCAUGUGUAGCGGUGAAAUGCGUAGAGAUAUGGAGGAACACCAGUGGCGAAGGCGGCUUCCUGGCCUGUAACUGACGCUGAGGCGCGAAAGCGUGGGGAGCAAACAGG
Molecule: ribosomal RNA, 253 nt
Filed under: uncultured bacterium
Lineage: Bacteria
Description: partial 16S ribosomal RNA
Rfam family: Bacterial small subunit ribosomal RNA
Source: RNAcentral